AUUGAACGCUGGCGGCAGGCCUAACACAUGCAAGUCGAACGGUAACAGGAAGAAGCUUGCUUCUUUGCUGACGAGUGGCGGACGGGUGAGUAAUGUCUGGGAAACUGCCUGAUGGAGGGGGAUAACUACUGGAAACGGUAGCUAAUACCGCAUAACGUCGCAAGACCAAAGAGGGGGACCUUCGGGCCUCUUGCCAUCGGAUGUGCCCAGAUGGGAUUAGCUAGUAGGUGGGGUAACGGCUCACCUAGGCGACGAUCCCUAGCUGGUCUGAGAGGAUGACCAGCCACACUGGAACUGAGACACGGUCCAGACUCCUACGGGAGGCAGCAGUGGGGAAUAUUGCACAAUGGGCGCAAGUCUGAUGCAGCCAUGCCGCGUGUAUGAAGAAGGCCUUCGGGUUGUAAAGUACUUUCAGCGGGGAGGAAGGGAGUAAAGUUAAUACCUUUGCUCAUUGACGUUACCCGCAGAAGAAGCACCGGCUAACUCCGUG
RNAcentral lists this ribosomal RNA (490 nucleotides) under uncultured bacterium. RNAcentral describes it as "partial 16S ribosomal RNA". It matches the Rfam family "Bacterial small subunit ribosomal RNA", at positions 30 to 507 of the family's 1533-position model. The record is from RNAcentral.